CAAAACAGAAUAUCUUUUGGCGGCAUCACUACUACGCCUCCACGACUCCCUUGUUCCUCUAUUUACACGUAAGUCCUUUCUAUUUCGCUUCUCAUUGUUUCUAUUGAUUCGUUAUUCUCUGUGUGUGUCUCUCUCUCUUUGCUUUCACGGAAAUAUACCGAGAAGAGCAGCAGCGAGCAAUGGGAGUUCGUACGGACGCAGAGCUCUCGAUGGACCGUCGUGUGUUGAAGCACGUCCACGACAACGUUCACGGCAACAUCUAUAUCGAGCCGCUCUUUUUAAAGUUUAUUGAUACCGAACAGUUUCAGAGGCAAGUCCAUUUUACCAUCAACCCACAAAAUGCUUUAGCACACAUGGUUUAUCCAGGGGCAGUGCAUUCUCGCUUUGAACAUUCACUUGGGGUGUACUGGUUGGCCGGCAAAGCUGUUGAUACAAUCAAGACUUACCAAGGCUUCGAGCUCGAUAUUGAGCAUUCAGAUAUACAGACAGUAAAACUUGCAGGACUACUACAUGAUGUUGGCCAUGGGCCGUUCAGCCACUCGUUUGAGCGCGAGUUUCUUCCUCUGGUUCUUAAUGGCUUCAAAUGGUGUCAUGAGGACAUGUCUGUGAAGAUGAUAGACUACAUUGUUGAUGAGCACAAUAUCGACAUUGGUACUGAACGCCUUAAGAAAGUGAAGGAAAUGAUAACAGCUAGCCAUGAACAUACUCCAACAAAGAGUAUGGUUGAAAAGCAUUUCUUGUAUGAUAUUGUUGCAAAUGGUCGGAAUGGAAUAGAUGUAGAUAAGUUUGACUACAUAGUUCGGGACUCUCGGGCUUGUGGUCUAGGUUGCAAUUUUCAAUUUGAGAGGUUGAUGGAAACUAUGCGAGUCAUUGGUGACGAGAUAUGUUAUCGAGCCAAGGAUUAUCUGACAAUCCACAAGCUGUUCGCCACUCGUGCUGAUUUGCAUAGAACAGUUUAUACACAUGCAAAAGUAAAGGCAAUAGAACUCAUGGUUACCGAUGCUCUGCUAAAAGCUAACGAUUCUCUAGGCAUUUCAUCCUCAAUUCAUCAACCAGCUGAAUUUUGGAAGUUGGAUGACUCAAUAUUAAGACGAAUUGAAAUUUCUACUGAACCUGAGCUCAAGGAAUCAAGAGACUUGAUCCUACGCAUUCGGAGAAGGGAGCUAUAUCAGUUCUGCAAUGAGUUCUCUGUCCCCAAGGACAAAAUGGAGCACUUCAAUAAAAUCACUCCACAAGAUAUUGUCUGUUCCCAGAAAGCUGGUGGUGUUACACUAAAAGAAGAAGAUAUUGCCGUGAGCAAUGUAAAGAUUGAUUUGACACGUGAAAGGAAUAAUCCUCUUGAAUGCAUCAAGUUUUUCAAGCAGGUUAGCCUGAAAAUCUGGUGACAUUGAUUGCAUGCAGCAUCAUAUCACAUGAAGAAUUUAGUGAUGCUGCAAACGAUUUUCUUGAUGAUUUAGAUUAUGAGGACUUAAAACCCCUUUAUUGAAUAAAUCAGUAGCAUGCUACGUAGUGAACUACAUCCCCAACAUAGAAGGGGUAAAACCGCACGUACAGAAAACCACUUACAAUGCAGGCUAGCUACCUGUUAAUCAAAGCCAUAGCUCUUACUGGUAGCUUUGCUAAAAUUUAAAGGCACUGAAUUAUUGGUUGGAGGUAAAUUAAUGGAGAAACAAUCUUUCUUCUAGAGGACAAAACAUCACUUGCACAUUGGAGAAUUAACAGCUUGGCCGUUUUCAGGAUUAUGAGAGCGAUGAAACAUUCCCAAUCCAAGAUGACCGCAUCAGCCACCUGCUACCCGCAUUUUACCAAGACAUGAUAGUUAGGGUGUACUCGAAGAAGCCGGAACUGGUGGAUGCAGUAUCUGAGGCCUUCGAAAAUUUUCAGUUGA
This is an RNA transcript of Carya illinoinensis, 1888 nucleotides long. It is a transcript of the gene named deoxynucleoside triphosphate triphosphohydrolase SAMHD1 homolog, with no coding region annotated. The record is from RefSeq and is a predicted model, not a curated record. NCBI's taxonomy places the organism in Eukaryota, Viridiplantae, Streptophyta, Magnoliopsida, Fagales, Juglandaceae. The transcript is spliced from 18 exons.